CAACCCCUAAGCACAGCUUAUUGUUGGGCGUCUACGUCUGUAGUGCCUCAAAGACAUUGGCGGAGCGGCAGCAGUCCUCUGAGCGUAGUAAUUCUUUAUCUCGCUUCUGUUAGGCGCUGCACCCCCGGCCGUAAAACCCCCAAUUUUUUCU
RNAcentral lists this unclassified non-coding RNA (151 nucleotides) under uncultured Nigrospora. RNAcentral's name for it is "sequence contains ITS2". Lineage: Eukaryota; Fungi; Ascomycota; Sordariomycetes; Trichosphaeriales. The record is from RNAcentral.